ACUCAAAUGAAUUGACGGGGGCCCGCACAAGCGGUGGAGCAUGUGGUUUAAUUCGAUGCAACGCGAAGAACCUUACCUACCCUUGACAUCCUCGGAAUCCCUCAGAGAUGAGGGAGUGCCUUCGGGAACCGAGAGACAGGUGAUGCAUGGCUGUCGUCAGCUCGUGUCGUGAGAUGUUGGGUUAAGUCCCGUAACGAGCGCAACCCCUGUCCUUAGUUGCUACCAGUUCGGCUGAGCACUCUAAGGAGACUGCCGGUGAUAAACCGGAGGAAGGCGGGGAUGACGUCAAGUCAUCAUGUCCCUUACGGGUAGGGCUACACACGUGCUACAAUGGACAGUACAGAGGGUUGCCAAACUGCAAAGUGGAGCUAAUCCCAUAAAACUGUUCGUAGUCCGGAUUGGAGUCUGCAACUCGACUCCAUGAAGUUGGAAUCGCUAGUAAUCGCAAAUCAGCAUGUUGCGGUGAAUACGUUCCCGGGCCUUGUACACACCGCCCGU
RNAcentral lists this ribosomal RNA (498 nucleotides) under uncultured bacterium. RNAcentral describes it as "partial 16S ribosomal RNA". It matches the Rfam family "Bacterial small subunit ribosomal RNA", at positions 899 to 1397 of the family's 1533-position model. The record is from RNAcentral.